GCCGGGCGCGGUGACGCGUGCCUGUAGUCCCAGCUACUCGGGAGGCUGAGGCUGGAUGAUUGCUUGAGCCCAGGAGUUCUGGGCUGUAGUGCGCUAUGCUGAUCGGGUGUCCGCAGUAGGUUCGGCAUCAAUAUGGUGACCUCCUGGGAGCAGGGGACCACCAGGUUGCCUAAGGAGGGGUGAACCGGCCCAGGUCGGAAACGGAGCAGGUCAAAACUCCUGUGCUGAUCAGUAGUGGGAUCGCGUCUGUGAAUAGCCACUGCAUUCCAGCUGGGCAACAUAGCGAGACCCCGUCUCUA
Unclassified non-coding RNA from Callithrix jacchus (white-tufted-ear marmoset), 299 nucleotides. It matches the Rfam family "Metazoan signal recognition particle RNA". Rfam says of the family: The signal recognition particle (SRP) is a universally conserved ribonucleoprotein. It is involved in the co-translational targeting of proteins to membranes. The eukaryotic SRP consists of a 300-nucleotide 7S RNA and six proteins: SRPs 72, 68, 54, 19, 14, and 9. The record is from Ensembl. NCBI's taxonomy places the organism in Eukaryota, Metazoa, Chordata, Mammalia, Primates, Cebidae.